RNAcentral lists this ribosomal RNA (236 nucleotides) under uncultured bacterium. RNAcentral's name for it is "partial 16S ribosomal RNA". It matches the Rfam family "Bacterial small subunit ribosomal RNA", at positions 118 to 350 of the family's 1533-position model. The record is from RNAcentral.
UGGGCAACCUGCCCCUGACACUGGGAUAACCCCGGGAAACCAGAGCUAAUACCGGAUACUCUCGGCCGAUCACAUGGCUGGCCGAGGAAAGGUCCGCCGGUCAGGGAUGGGCCCGCGGCCUAUCAGCUUGUUGGCGAGGUAACGGCUCACCAAGGCGACGACGGGUAGCUGGUCUGAGAGGACGACCAGCCACACUGGAACUGAGAUACGGUCCAGACCUCCCGUACGGGGAGGCA